This is a long non-coding RNA of Chelonia mydas (Green sea turtle), 674 nucleotides long. RefSeq lists it as uncharacterized. The record is from RefSeq and is a predicted model, not a curated record. Lineage: Eukaryota; Metazoa; Chordata; Testudines; Cheloniidae. The transcript has 4 exons.
GUUUUGGUUUCACUUUGGGGAGAGGCAGCAUAGCCUAGGAAGUCUCUAAUCAACUUCCACUUCCCACACAAAAGUGGUCUUUGAACUACUGUGGGAUUUAGUCUGUGACUGGGGAGUACCAGCUCUGUGGAUACCAGUGAUCAAAGGGGCAGAGAACCAAUCCAGCACCAGUUACCUAGAGCCAGCCGAGACCUCUACUGGGCUCCAAAUCAGGGGGCCAGGGACUGAUCACCCCCAGCUGCAUCAUAUCAUCAUAUAAUAUUGCCCAGCUGUCAAUCUUACUUUCAUGAGCACUCAGCUCUAUUGGAAAAAACAAACCAUCUGGCAACUGCUGUUGAAGAAUUUAUCUAAAUAGGUGUCGUUUAGAAAGUCGGAGAACUGAAACACACCAACAUUAAGUGACUUGCUCCAGGUCACAAAGGAAGUAUGUGACAGAGACAAGAAUGGAACCCAGAACUCCUGAGUCCCUGCCUAUUUUCCUGACAGCAAGACCAACCUUCCUCCCUGAACACAACUUCCUGGGAUAAGUCUCAUGACUGAAAUAUUGGUAUAGAGGGGUAUAGACUGUUCAGGAAGAAAAAAAACAAGGAGGUUUUGCAUUAUACAUCAAGAAUAUAUACACUUGUUCUGAGGUUCAGAAGGAGGUGAGAGGCAGACUAGUUGAAAGCCUCUGG